Molecule: ribosomal RNA, 133 nt
Filed under: uncultured bacterium
Lineage: Bacteria
Description: partial 16S ribosomal RNA
Source: RNAcentral
CGCCAUGUUAGAGCGUACCGUUUCUUUCCAGCUGAAAGAGCUUUACAACCCGAAGGCCUUCUUCACUCACGCGGAAUGGCUGGAUCAGGGUUGCCCCCAUUGUCCAAGAUUCCCCACUGCUGCCUCCCGUAGG